UGUAGUCAUAUGCUUGUCUCAAAGAUUAAGCCAUGCAUGUCUAAGUAUAAGCAAUUAUACAGCGAAACUGCGAAUGGCUCAUUAUAUAAGUUAUCGUUUAUUUGAUAGUACCUUACUACUUGGAUAACCGUGGUAAUUCUAGAGCUAAUACAUGCUAAAAAUCCCGACUUCGGAAGGGAUGUAUUUAUUAGAUUAAAAACCAAUGCCCUCUGGGCUCUCUGGUGAUUCAUGAUAACUUCUCGAAUCGCAUGGCCUUGCGCCGGCGAUGGUUCAUUCAAAUUUCUUCCCUAUCAACUUUCGAUGUUUGGGUAGUGGCCAAACAUGGUUGCAACGGGUAACGGAGGGUUAGGGCUCGACCCCGGAGAAGGAGCCUGAGAAACGGCUACUACAUCCAAGGAAGGCAGCAGGCGCGCAAAUUACCCAAUCCCGAUUCGGGGAGGUAGUGACAAUAAAUACUGAUACAGGGCUCUUUUGGGUCUUGUAAUUGGAAUGAGUACAAUUUAAAUCCCUUAACGAGGAACAAUUGGAGGGCAAGUCUGGUGCCAGCAGCCGCGGUAAUUCCAGCUCCAAUAGCGUAUAUUAAAGUUGUUGUGGUUAAAAAGCUCGUAGUUGAACCUUGGGCCUGGUUGGCCGGUCCGCCUCACCGCGUGUACUGGUCCGGCCGGGCCUUUCCCUCUGUGGAACCCCAUGCCCUUCACUGGGUGUGGCGGGGAAACAGGACUUUUACUUUGAAAAAAUUAGAGUGCUCCAGGCAGGCCUAUGCUCGAAUACAUUAGCAUGGAAUAAUAAAAUAGGACGUGCGGUUCUAUUUUGUUGGUUUCUAGGACCGCCGUAAUGAUUAAUAGGGACAGUCGGGGGCAUCAGUAUUCAAUUGUCAGAGGUGAAAUUCUUGGAUUUAUUGAAGACUAACUACUGCGAAAGCAUUUGCCAAGGAUGUUUUCAUUAAUCAGGAACGAAAGUUAGGGGAUCGAAGACGAUCAGAUACCGUCGUAGUCUUAACCAUAAACUAUGCCGACUAGGGAUCGGACGAUGUUAUUUUUUGACUCGUUCGGCACCUUACGAGAAAUCAAAGUGCUUGGGCUCCAGGGGGAGUAUGGUCGCAAGGCUGAACUUAGGGAGU
This 1120-nucleotide ribosomal RNA is filed under the name Metapochonia sp. 1-KN-2011. RNAcentral's name for it is "SSU rRNA". It matches the Rfam family "Eukaryotic small subunit ribosomal RNA", at positions 19 to 1154 of the family's 1831-position model. The record is from RNAcentral. Lineage: Eukaryota; Fungi; Ascomycota; Sordariomycetes; Hypocreales; Clavicipitaceae.